GACGAACGCUGGCGGCGUGCUUAACACAUGCAAGUCGAACGCUGAAGCCCUUCGGGGUGGAUGAGUGGCGAACGGGUGAGUAACACGUGGGUAAUCUGCCCUGCACUCUGGGAUAAGCCUUGGAAACGGGGUCUAAUACCGGAUAGGACACAUCGCCGCAUGGUGUGUGUGUGGAAAGUUCCGGCGGUGCAGGUUGAGCCCGCGGCCUAUCAGCUUGUUGGUGGGGUGAUGGCCUACCAAGGCGACGACGGGUAGCCGGCCUGAGAGGGUGACGGGCCAAACUGGAACUGAGACACGGCCCAGACUCCUACGGGAGGCAGCAGUGGGGAAUCUUGCGCAAUGGGCGAAAGCCUGACGCAGCAACGCCGCGUGGGGGAUGACGGCCUUCGGGUUGUAAACCUCUUUCGACCGGGACGAAGGAUUCGUUUGACGGUACCGGUAGAAGAAGCACCGGCUAACUACGUGCCAGCCGCCGCCGUAA
This 481-nucleotide ribosomal RNA is filed under the name uncultured bacterium. Its description in RNAcentral is "partial 16S ribosomal RNA". It matches the Rfam family "Bacterial small subunit ribosomal RNA", at positions 28 to 523 of the family's 1533-position model. The record is from RNAcentral.